RNAcentral lists this ribosomal RNA (490 nucleotides) under uncultured bacterium. Its description in RNAcentral is "partial 16S ribosomal RNA". It matches the Rfam family "Bacterial small subunit ribosomal RNA", at positions 30 to 507 of the family's 1533-position model. The record is from RNAcentral.
AUUGAACGCUGGCGGCAGGCCUAACACAUGCAAGUCGAACGGUAACAGGGAUCAGCUUGCUGAUUCGCUGACGAGUGGCGGACGGGUGAGUAAUGUCUGGGAAACUGCCUGAUGGAGGGGGAUAACUACUGGAAACGGUAGCUAAUACCGCAUAACGUCGCAAGACCAAAGAGGGGGACCUUCGGGCCUCUUGCCAUCUGAUGUGCCCAGAUGGGAUUAGCUAGUAGGUGGGGUAACGGCUCACCUAGGCGACGAUCCCUAGCUGGUCUGAGAGGAUGACCAGCCACACUGGAACUGAGACACGGUCCAGACUCCUACGGGAGGCAGCAGUGGGGAAUAUUGCACAAUGGGCGCAAGCCUGAUGCAGCCAUGCCGCGUGUAUGAAGAAGGCCUUCGGGUUGUAAAGUACUUUCAGCGGGGAGGAAGGGAGUAAAGUUAAUACCUUUGCUCAUUGACGUUACCCGCAGAAGAAGCACCGGCUAACUCCGUG